ACUGCUCUUGGGGGCACUGCAGAUGUGACUGCUGUGUCACAUUUGUGUCAUUAGGUGGCAGAGAGAAGAGAGGCUUGUCUAUGCUCAGCAUUCUGGCCCGUGAACGUCUGGACAAUUGAUAGUCUAAAAAU
Small nucleolar RNA from Vicugna pacos (alpaca), 131 nucleotides. The record is from Ensembl. NCBI's taxonomy places the organism in Eukaryota, Metazoa, Chordata, Mammalia, Artiodactyla, Camelidae.